Molecule: long non-coding RNA, 11043 nt
Filed under: Vigna radiata
Lineage: Eukaryota; Viridiplantae; Streptophyta; Magnoliopsida; Fabales; Fabaceae
Description: long non-coding RNA (VRAD_LNC004839)
Source: RNAcentral
ACGGCGAGGAGAGGAAGCUGAAUCUAGCGCAGGUUCCAGGAGAAGGAGAGGGGCUUCGGGUGGUGCGUUUGGAAUGUAGUGUGGACUCUGGGUCGCUAGUGCAAAAGGCUCUUCUCCAAGCGGUUCCCAUGUCAAUGCGAGAUCCAAGGUACUAUGCCGUUUGGUUGGCCUUUCUUCACUUGCCUUCCGUCUCUAUCUAUGCCUUUUUAUAUUUCAAACUAGCAUUUAUAAAAAAUAAAUAUCAUCAUGAGCCUAUUUUAAAUAAAUCAUAACUUUCGUUUGGGUUGGAUAUACAUAUGUUAAAAUAAGUCGUUCCCAUACAUGAUUGGUUAAUAUCAUUAAUUGGCCAUUUGAAAUUAGAUUAAUUUAAUUUAUUUUUAAUAAGUUAAAAUUUUAUAUUCUGAUUUAUUCAUUGCUAUUAAUAUUAAUUAUGUAUUAAUGAAUUAACUUAUUUAAAAAUACUUAUAUCUUAAUAUAAUUAAAAUAGAUUAAUUUAACUCGUUUUAUUACAAUAGAAUAAAAAUAUUUAUGUAUUUUACUAAACAUGUUAUAAAGAUUAUAGUUGAAAUUAAAAUAUCAAUUUACAUAAUUUGAUAAAUAAAUAAAUUAAUUUAAACUAAAUAAAUAUUAUUUGACAACAUCCUAAUAUUUAAAAAUAAUAGUAAAUAAUUAAUUGGUUUUAUUGUAAUUUGGAAUGUGGCUCUUUAGACAAGUGAUAUUAUGUGAUUGAGUUGGAGAAUUUUGAUGUAUGUUUUUAAAGGUUAAAAAGUGAAGAACACUAGUGCAAAAAUGUUGUUUAACGUUAGUUAAUUUGGGCUUUUAAUGUCAUUUUUCCAACCGACGUCUAUAUGGGUGACGUCGGAAUUCAUCCAACCGAUGUCUAUAUACACGUCAGUUAACGAUAUCCACCGAUGUCUAUAUAGACGUCUGCUUAUACUCAAACCGACGUCUAUUUACUCUAUAUAAACGUCCGCCUAUUCCUAAACCGAUGUCAACAUGAAUAUAUAGAGGUUGUAAAUGACACUAACCGACGUCUAUCUUCUUAUAGACGUUGGACCAUGCAUUAACCGACGUCUAACAAGGGCGUUGUGUUUUCGUGCAGUUUUGAUCUAGACUUUCGGUAGCAUUGUGUAACACUCUCCUCUUGCUAGUUUCUCCACAAAAAAAGCUUGCGUCUUUUGAAUCUUCUAUGACAUUCAACCCAAAACCGAACCUGGGUCCAUGACUACUUCCCAUUAUUCAACCGCAAAAUAAAAAAAUUACGGUGACACGAGAACUAGACAAGGACCCAAGUUCCAUUUUGGGUCGGAAGCCAUUGAAAACUCAAAAGAUCGUCACUCUAUUUGUGAGGAAACCAACAAAGGGAGAAUGUUACACUAUGUUACCCAAAGAGAGGAUCAAAACUGCACUAAAACACAACACAAAGAAAACAAAUUUUAAUCAGUUGAACCACAAGAUAAUCGAUAAAAAACUAAAGAAAGUUUAAACGGUAAGCAUUAAAAAAAACACUCACCUGGGAUGCAAGAGAGAAAAAGAAGAGGAUGAAGACAAUAACAUAUUGAGAAACGACAAUGCAAUGCCGCAAGAGAUAAAAAGUAGAGGUACGUAAGCGAGUAAAAGAAGAGGAGAAGCANAGAAAAAGGAGAAGAGAUGAAGACGAGAUCAGAAACUGAAUGGUGAGAAGAGUCUNCGGUCUAUUUAAAAUGAAAUGGGGCAUCGGUUGUUCCAGAAACCGACGUCUAUAGACGUCGGUGUUUCAAGGGAUCCGACGUCUAUGAAGCUAAAAAGAUUGAUGUUUUGGUUUCCUGUCAGGGUAGUUCACGUCGGUGCCCCUCACAGCCGAUGUCUAAAACCCUCGAAUUUGGUGAGAAUACAGGAACUUAGACGUCGGUGCCUCUCAGAACCGACGUCUACAUUGAAGAAUUUUUGUCUUCCCGCCUUCCAGAUAGGCCUUAGACGUCGGCGUUUGACUACGUGACGUCUAGUUGCCUGGGGAAUUAGGUGAACAACAUUAAUUGUAGCCCAGUCGACGUCGCUUUUUCACGGGAUCUGACGUCUAUUCGACGUCUAAAGCUGAACCGGUUGACGUUUGAUUUCCUGUCAGUGAUGUAGACGUCGGUGCCCUUGCUAGCCGACGUCUAAGCUCUUGGGAAUUUGAUGGACAACAUUAAUUGCAGCCUAGUAGACGUCGGUCCCCGUGAACACCGACGUCAAUGGACUGUCUUAUCACAUACCUCAGGCAAUUAGACGUCAGUUUGCGGCAGGUGCGACGNCUAUGAUGUCAUAGACGUCGCCUGACAUCGAAACAGACGUCUAGUUUUCCAAUUUAUUUACGCUAAUGCCACCGUGCAGAAAUAGAUGUCGGAUUUUCACGGAACCGACGUCUAAGGAGUGACGUUAAACAACGUUUUUGCACUAGUGGAAAGAUCUAUUUGUAAAGACUUUCAAAUACUUAAAUUAAUAAGAGAGUUGAAUCUUGUAUGUAUAAAAUAAUAGGUAUGAGUUUGUAGCUGUAAAAUUUAGAGGUAAUUUGACCAAAUCCAAUCUAUUUCCAAAACCAUAAGAAGAAAUGAAAACAAAAAUUAAAUUAAAAACUCUUACUUGAUGGAGAAGAAGAUGCAAACAAACACACGAAAAUGCAAAAGAGGGCACACAAAAGCAUAAAGAAGCAAAUUGUUUCGCAAGGAGGACGUUGGACAAGAAUGAAAAGUGAGAAAGAAGUGUAAAAGAUAAAGAUAAAAUUGUAAUUAAUGAGGUGAAACUAUAGUCUUUCGGUAGGUGAGCACUUCCUACUCAUUGGGCGAGUGACCUCGUUUUUAAAAAAAAUAAGGUUUGAUUCAACCAUCCUGUUAUGAUAUUGAAUGUUGUCUUACUGGUUGGACGAGUAGCUCAGUUCCCUCCAAAUCCAAAGUUUUUCAAAAUAAAAUAAAGCUUUUAAAUUAUUUUUGUACAAAUAUAAAAACUACUCGCUAGAUUAGAGGUUUGCUCACCUUAUGAGUUGUUGUUGCAAGGGUCAAAAGAACACACAAACUUCACUGGCCAUCAAAACAUGGAUCUAGCGAAAGCAUAAACAGAGAGAUUUAGUCGUUAUACGAGUAGUUAGUCGCCUAACAAGUGUAGAAACAACAAGCUUUGAUGGCAAGGCUAGAAUUAAUAGCCUAGUGAGGGAAGAAACAAAAAGUUUUGGUCACUAGGUGAGAGAUUGGUGCUUUAGGGACUUUAUUGGCUGGAAAACUUGGGCGAGAGAGAGCUUUGCUAGAUGAGUUUGCAUAACUGUUAAGCUUAUUAUUCUGCAAAACCAAACUCGUUGGGUGAGCUACUUUCUCCCUGAGCGAACCUGACAUUAAAAUUACACCAUAUACAUGCAUAAACAACAUUCAUAAAUUAAAAUAAAGCAGUAAACACCAGGUUGCCUCCUAGCAAACACUUAUUUAACGUCAUUAGCUCGAUGCCUAUAAGCUUAAGGGUCAGCUAGAUGAAUGAUUGUGGUGAGACAUUCUUUGUGGAUGCUUAAGCCAUUAACCAUUUACUACCCAACAUCUUUGUGGAUCACUUGAAGAUGGAUCCAUCAACUCUAUUGCUCCAUGUUACAUGAUGGUGAAAGGUUCAAUUAUUUGUCUAAUUGGAAGUCUUUCUUCAACAACUUCCCAUCAUGAUAUAUUUUGACCUUCUCCUUGUAGCUUUUGGAGGUCUUAUAAGCAUUCUGGUGUAUCUCAUUAAGCUCAAGCAAUUAAAUUUUUCUCUUCUUAAUAGACAUAGAGGGAUCAAAAUUUAAAAACUUCAAAGCCUAGUAAGCUUUGUGUUCCAUCUCAACCGGCAAGUGACAUGUUUUGCCAUAGAUAAAUUGGAAAAGAAAUAACUUUAUUCGAGUUUUCAUGGUAGUUUUGUAAGCCUAGAGAGCAUCAUCAAGCUUCAAUGGCCAAUCUUUUCUAGAUGAUGCUAUAUUCUUCUUCAAAAUCUUCUUUAUCUCCUGGUUAGACACUUUAGCUCGCCCAUUAAUUUAUAGAUGAUAUGGUGAAAUAACUUUGUGUCUCACUUCAUAAUGCUUCAAGACUUUGACCAAUUUAGCAUUGCAAAAAUGGGGUCCUCUAUCACUAAUGACCCUGGGAACUCCAAAUCGAGAGAAGAUUUGUCUUUUGAGAAAAUUGAUGAUUGUAUUAGCAUCAUUUUUCUGAUAGACUACUGCUUCUACUCAUUUGCUAACAUAGUCCACUAUAACAAGAAUAUACUUAUUGUUGAAAGAAGGAAGAAAGGGAACAAUAAAGUCUAUUCCCCAACAAUCAAAGACCUUAACCUCCAAAAUUGCCCUGUAGUGGCAUUUCAUGCCUUCUUGAGAUGUUUCCAAUCCUCUGGCAUUUAUCAUAGCUCCUAGCAUAAGUCUGAGCAUCUUUAAACAAAGUGGGCCAGGAGAACACAAAUUGAAGCACUUUUGAGGUUUUCCGUUCCUCAUUGAAGUGUUUAUCACAUGGCAAGUUGUGGCAGUGCCAUAGGAUUCGUUCAACUUCCUUUACACACCAUCUCAAAAGAUUAUCAUCAUAAUCAUUCAUCUGGUUGACCUUUGAGCUUACAAGCGUCAAGCUAAUAACGUUAAACAAGCGCUUACUGGGAGGUAACCCAGUGUUUAGUGCUUUCUCUUAAUUUUUGGAUGUUGUUUUUACAUGUAUAGGGUGUCGCUUUUGUGUCAGGUUUGUCUAGCGAGAGAGUAGCUCACCCAACGAGUUUGGAUUUAUAGAAAAACAAGCUUAAACAUUAUGCAAAAUCGCCCAACGAAGAUCUCUCUCGCUCAACGAACAAGGUCCCUAUAAUUGCCAAAUUUUCUAGCCAAGAAAGUCGUUGGAGCACCAAUCUCUCGCCCAACAACCAAAGGUUUCUCUUUCUCCCAUCGUUAGGCCACUGAUUCUGGCCUAGCCACCAAACCAUGUUGUUUUUUCACUCAUUGGGCUGCUCUCCCAACGACUAAAUAUAUCUAUUUAAGCUCUCGCUAGGCCCAUGUUUUGAUAGCCAACGAGUUUUGUGUGUUUUUUUGACCCUUGCAACAACUCGCUGGACGAGCAUACCUCUAACCCAACUAGUAGCUUUUGUUUUUGUACAAAAAUAAUUUAAAAGCUUUAUUUUAUUUUGAAAAAAAUUGGUUUUGGAGGGAACUAAGCCUAGUGAGCCUACCUAACUCGUCCAAAGAGUGAUACAACAUUCAACGUUGUUAGAAGGUUAUUGAGUCAAACCUUGUUUUUUCUGAAAACAAGGUCACUUGCCCAACAAGUGGUAAGUGCUCGUCCACUCAGAGGCUAUAGUUUCACCUCAUUGAUUACAGAUUUAUUGUUAUCUUUUAUACUUCUUUUUCACUUUUCAUUCUCGCUAAACCUCCUUCUCGCCAAACCCUUUGCUUCUUUGUGUUUUUAUGUACCCUCUUCUGCAUUAUUGUUUGUUUGCUUGCAUCUUCUCCUCCAUCAGGUAAGAUUUCUUAGUUUAAUUUUUGUUUUCAUUUCUUUUUGUGGUUUUGGAAGUAGUUUAUAUUUAGGGUUUGUACUAAAUUUGUGUCAAUAUAUAUUUUCUUCUCUAGGGUUGUUUAUGUUGGGAAACAUGUAGGCUUCGUUUUACACCAAGAGCGGGGGGGGGGGGGUUUCAAUUGGUGAGUUUUCAAAAUCAGAGUCUUUUUAAAAUCUUUAAAGCAAAGUUGAAAACUUUACAAGUCUUUAAAGUAAAGUAAUGAAAUUUGUGUGCAGUGAAAAAUCGUAGUUGACUACGCAGAUAUCACAGUCGACUGAAAAUAAAAGAGUAGGGAUAGAGAAAUCAAACACUGGUUUUUAUAUUGGUUCGGCCAACAAUGCCUACAUCCAGUGUCCUUCCAACCUAGGAAGCAAAUGCACUAUAAUGGUCAAGGUUUUUACAACAAGGAAUUUAUAGAAGACCUUCACGUCAAAAAUAUAAAUCUCCUCUUUAACCAUCUAACCAAAAUAUAGGCAUACAACAUAGCAGAACUUGCAGCAAGAUGUCCCCUCUCCUACAAUCCGCCAAACACCACUUUGAACAAUCAUCAAAGUGAACCAGAUUCCACGAGUCUAUCCCCUAUAGUCACAACAGGUACACACAUCAAUCUUCAAGGAUGCCAAGCGAAAUCUUGAUAAAACCAGAUGCACCUUCAGUGUGCAAAAAAUGAUUAACCAAUAAGUGCGCAAACAAUCUCCUUUUGAAUCUCUUUCAAGAAAGAUUACCAUCAUCUUCUUGGAGAAUUCUUGGAGCUCUAUAAACCAGAGAUAUCAAUCUAAAACAGAAUGUAGAAAUGUUAGAUCAUCAAAAGUCUCUGAACAAUUUCGUGUUCAGACUAUUUAUAGAAUUCUGUUAAACAAAUGUUCUCAUAGUCGAAUAAGCUACUAAUCCAGUCGACUAAGUUAAGACAGUUAUAACAGUUAAGUCAGACCAAUAGCAUACAGUCAACCAAAAUAAAUUCUCAUUCAAUACAGUUGACUCUCAAUCAAGGCUCAACUAACUUUUGAAAAUAUAGUCGUUACUAUACAUGAGCGUAACAGAAUUUCAAAACAAACAACUAAUGUAGUCGAAUGUGUGGCACACACAGUCGACUUCGACAUGUCAGAGCAAAUUGAAAUUCUUUUCUUCUCAAAAUCUCACAAAGCACUGAUUCCCAAAAUCUGUACAAAGACUUUAGCAUAGUCGAUUCAAUUAUUAUUAGAGUCGACUUUACUGCAACUUUGUCACACAAUUAUAAGUUCACAAAAGUACUUAUGGUUUUCAUGCUUAAAAACAAGUGUAAUGCAUCCAGAUAUGAUGUAACAUGUACAAGCUCAAUGAGUAUGCAUAUACACAACAAUAUAGAACAAAAACAUGUUCAACAAAUAUAUCAAACAAUCAACAUAAGAACAUGUAUAGAAACAACAACAUAUGUGUGUUAUUAAGCGAUGUGUUGUCAUCAUAAAAAAUCAGAGUGAUAUAGAUAUUGUGUAGUCAACAAUCUCAACAGUUUAAUUGUUACCCUUCAAUGCUUUGUGAUGUGCAUGUUGUUUUAAUUUCUUGUUGUGUUUUGUAUAUGCUUUGUUCAUGCCUUGUUUGUGCAUUUCUUGUUGUUUCUCGAUGUUGUUCUUCAUCACUCAUUGGGCCCAUGGUGUUGGCGCGCCCAACAAGCCAUGUUUUGGCUAAGUGCCAACAUGAGGCUUGUGCCUAGCGAUUGAAGCUCUCUUUUUUGCAGCUUGCCCAGCAAGCCUGUCACUCGCCUAGUAAGUUGACCUUGUUGUGAUGUGCUAAAAAACUCGUUGGGUAAAGCCUUGCUCUUGCCUAGCGAGUUAUGUGUUGUUUUGUAAAUAAUUGUGCAUUUACUAACCUCUUUGGCUAUAAUAAUCUUCAUUUUGCAAAUGGUCCCUCUAAAUCCUAUCAAGCACCUAAAAAGAGAAAUGUCUCUAAAGGUUUUUAAUUCCGCAAUCUUGAAUAAAAUAUAUGGAGAUUGAUUUGAUUAACAACUAUAAUCAACACAAAUUUUCUUCUAAGGUAUCUGCUAAUAGAUUUUUGAAGAUCAAACAAAGAAGCCUCAUAAUGGAGAGGAAGGUCAGGUUGUAUCAAGGGGAAUAUGAUGAGUUCAGCUUGGAGCUCGAGAAACGGUAAUGAGAUGAGGUGUUAGGGGACCUACCUAAUGAAAUUGAUAAAAUGUUGGUUAAGGAGUUCUUCAUCAAUGCCUACAACCUGGAUGGAAAUGGGUCAAGCAAUGCAAAGUGAGGGGCAAGCUCAUAAAGUAUGAUAGGAGGAUCCUUAAUGCCUUCCUAAGGACCUCACCCGCUUCAUCUAGUCAGGUCAUGCACUUUAGUGAAUUUUUGAGUGGCCACAAAGAGCAUGAUGAGAUAGCCUCUACCUUGGGCACAUAUAUGUUGGGUGUCAGCAUAAUGGAUGACCUUCAAAAUAAUGCAUGCAAGCUAGAAGAGCUCGGAGAACAGCUAUUCCCAAGGACAUGGAGUGCCGAACACCUAAAGAUACAUUACAAUUAAAGAAUACCAUGGAGAUGGCACCGAAGUUACUAGAUUGAAACAUGAAAAAAGACCAUAGAGUUGACACUAGAGUUACUAGAUUUUAACCUGAGAAAAGAUCACAAAGUUGACACUUGAGUUACUAUAUCGUAACUUGAGAAAAAACCACAAAGUUGGUACUCGAGUUACUAGAUUGUAACAUGAGAAAAAACCAUGGAAUUGACAUUCAAGUUAUUAGAAGAUCAAUUCCAAGAGAAAAUCAGUAUUUUAAUAUCCGAGUAAAAAAAUAAGAGCAACUUACAAUACUCGAGUAUGAGAGUCGUAAAAUUGGUACUCUCCUCAUCCAGAACAACAUUGGCCUUAAACCUUAUAACCUUUUCAUUUAGACAGACCACUUCCUCGUGAAGAGCCUGAAACUCAUCGUUUUUUGGAUGUCAAGGCCACUUUCACCUUACUAAUCAGUUUUUCGAACAUCAAAGUCGCCUUCGUCCUAUGCUUGCUAGAAUUUAUAAGUCAACUGACCUAAAUGGAUGAAGUUUUGUACCAACCCAAGUUUUUGCUCGUCAGGUUUUUGGCCAAUUUCCACACACAAGCCAACUAGGUCAUCCAUUUCAAUCUUCACCUUAGUCGCUUUUGCUUGAAGAUUCAUUUUAACAUUCUUGAAUUUUUUCUUGAUCCCUUUCAAUUGGGACAACUCUAGGUUUUCGCUCGUUAGUUUCUAGUUAACUUUCAAACACAGGCUGCCCCGACUGACCACCUCGACCUUCACCUCUACCUUUUUCACAUUCUUCUACAGUAGGCAAUUUCAAGAAAAGACAAGCUAAAAAUAAACUAAGAAUAACACGAGAAAUACUUGAAGAGGGUGCUCACAGUGAAGCAAGUUAAAAUUUAUCAUUAAUGCUAAAAAAAUAUAGUAUAGAUGAAAGUUAAAAGUUAUCACCAAUUUGGCCAAAAAUGAGAAUCAAGAUCUACCCAAACCAAUAGUAUCCAACAAAAUUUGUCUAAAGUCUGCAACACCUAAUUGGGUCUGCCCAAGCCAACAAUCUAGAAUAAUGCUUGCUUAAAGUCAACAACAUAAGACUAAGGGAAUAUUCUUAUAUAGUGACUAUCGAACGAACUCGCACUAGUGCAAAAACAGCGUAUAACGUCACGCGUUUAACGUCCAGUCACUCAAUAGCCAACGUUAAACAUGACCGAUGGCACUUUUGUAAAUAAAUGCAAUUAUUAAAUGUCGUUUAGAAUUGUAAUUCGACGUAAAAAGAUAUAAAACAUCGAAUGUUGCGUUAGACGUCAAAAGGUUUUCAAUUCAAAUUUGAGCAGGAGAUUGAAAAUUUAUUGACUUUAUCUUUAGCGCGCGAGACCCUCUUUUUUGCUCAAACUUUUCUCAAACGAAGUUUGACGACCAUCACAUGUAAUCUUUCUUUCAUUUAAUACAAAUGCAUGUCAAUGAAUUACUUUAGGUAUGAUUUUUGUUUGUUUUCACCGAUUAUUUUUGUGUUUUUGUCUUCCAUAGGCGCAUCCUGUUUUCUCUCUCACUAGUGGCAAUACUUUAUUCUGAUGAACCCACCUUUUUGCUGAAUGACCAAAUGAUAUAUGAGCUCGGUCGAAUGUCCAAUCCACUUGCAAACUCUACAAGUUGAUGUCGACCACAAGAACAAUCACGAGCGUUCCUCACGUUAAAUUAAAAUUUUGAGAUUAGAUGACUUAUGUACAUAUUCGAUCCAAAUGUGCUAAGUGGCAUAGUCCAACAAGAAUCCUUUACUAAAUCUUAGUAGUUUUAUUAUAACUUUUAAUAGUCAUUAAUAUCUUUUAAUAAUAUGUCUUUAAUAGAUGAUAUUGCUUAUUUAAAUCACAUAUAUGACAUAUUCUUAAGAUGUUAUAAAUACAUAUGUAUUUCAUUAGGAAAGAGACUCUAAAACUUAUACUAUUUUAUAUAUAAAAUAUCUCAUUCUCUUAGUAACUUAAGCGUCACAAAAUAUUUUAUAAGUGUUACUUUCCCAACUUUUCAAUCUUGAGCAUGGUUAGGAUUCUCCAAUCCAAUCACAUACCAUUUGUGUAAAAGUCACGCUCUAGAUUCCGGUAAAAAUAUUAAUAAAUAAUAUUUGAAAAAAUUGAAUAAUUAAUUACUUUGUCUGUUAAAUUAUAUGGAUUGACAUUUUAAUUUUCACUUAUUAUCUUUAUGGUAAUACUUAGUGAAAUAGGUAAACAAUUUUAUUGGUUAUAAUAUUGCUAUAAAUAAAUGAGUUGAAUAAAUUAUAAAUUACGUAAGUCAACAAUUUAACUCACUAAUAUGUAAUGAAUUCUAUUUGAUUAGCAAAAUUUUCACUUUGACCUCAUAAAAAAGGUAAACCAAAUAAAAGCAAAAUUAAAAACUAGGAAUUUUUUUGUACUCCUAAGGAUUCGAAUAUAAAAGAAUCCAAAUGCAGAUACAGUAAACAAAUGUAGUACAAGUGACUUUAUAAAGUAAGAAGAAAAGUAAACAUACCAAAAAAUAGUGAAUCGAGAAGCAUCUUGUACACACUACUACUUUCGGAUGAGGAGAAGAAAGGUUUAGCACGGUCCCUUUAAGCCAAAAUUUGGCUCAUUAAUAGAGAAAUAUCUGAAAUGGUCACAACUCUCUGCAUUGUUUCUAUGUCAGUGUCUUCUAAAUUUCAUAUUACUUUACUAUUUCAUUGAAUCAUUAGAAUUAAUUUAAUCCUUGUUGAUUGUGUCGGUCAACAACAUUGGAAAGGUGAAUCAUAAGAUGAAUCAUAUGUUUGAUGAAAAAAAUGAAUGAUGAGUUGCACAUGAUGAAUAAUUCUAUGGUUGGUCCUUUGUGUGCAGUUUGGAGACCGCAGCGAGGAAGCCCCUCCACACAAAACUGGCAAUGCUUGUCACAGCCUUACCCUCCAUACCAUCACAUCAUCAUUACUUGCCUUCUCUAUUGUCCUUUGUUAGGUCACUUAUUGAAACUCUUGCAUUCAUCUCAACUACCUCUGCUAAUAAUUUUAAGAUUUACAGUUCACAGACAAUAACAAUAUUUUCUUAUUAGAUUUUGACGAAGUUCCUAAGAUGGAGUAAAUAAGGUUUUCAAGAG